GUCAGAACGCUAGGAAAUCCCCCAGUGAGUUAUGACAGAAGGUGCUGUUCCUUUAAGUCGGAACUUCCUGAGACAAGCGGAGUAGCUACGCGAAAGGAACGGAUUAACAACAACCGCCGCCGUGAGAAUACAAUAUUAUACAUCUUUUGAACAUAGGACUAUCUUGUUGGUAAAAAAAAUAAAUACGGAAAUAAAGGUUGUGUCGAAGGGAUAUCUGAGCUGAUUUGGCUUAUCAACAAUACCAGAACACUGUUGAAUGCCAUUGCGGAAGUAAAUUGUACCUUGUUGACUCGAAGAUAAUUUGGCGACAUCUAGUGGACAGAACGGGGAAAUACCACGCACGUAGGAAGAUGUACGGAACGUCAGGGAUGCCAGAUCUAAUACCCCCGAAUGGAUCUGGUCAGGCUGGUCCGGCCGGUCAGUUCAACACGGGACAUACGCAUAUUCAACAGGGACAUAAUGAGAGACCGAACCCGCAGAGACUAGGGCAUCGGGCGCCCAAACUUGGACAAAUUGGUCGUUCCAAGAAAGUGGAUCUCGGGGAUGAGGAUGUCGAUGACAUCAUGAAUAAUAACAGACAAUUUCCUGUUUCCCUCAACCUCUCACCCAUCUCCUAAACCACAUCACAUGCGCCAAUGAAGAUCUUUGAAGCCAAAACUCAACUGAAUCAAUUUGGCCUGGAUCAAUCGACAUUACAAGUGACCUGACCCUAAAGCUUGGUCUACAAUAUUAUAGCUGAAAAGCUCAUUGUGGCACAACGAGGGAUGGUUCUGCCUGAAUUAGUUCAACACAUGAAUUCUAGGACUCUAUAGACAUUUGCAUCAAAAGCUUGUUUAUUGCAGUUAACUUAUCUGUAAUUAUACUGUGAAUUAAUGUUAUUGAAACCUGUUUUUAUUACCUCCUUAGUGGACUAUUGUCUCUUGAGAAAGUACAGUGUGGCUUGGUUUUUAAGCUUCUGAAGGGCUACAUUUGAAAAGCUGCACUCUAAAUGGUGUUACACAAAUGGACAGAGAGCUGAUCUAGGGUCAAGCCCUUAUUUUUCCAUAUAGUCUUUUUAAUUAUUAUUUAACAGGCAGCCUGAUCCCUGGUCAGCACUCUGAGGUUAUGAAUGCAUUCUUGUUGGUUUCUGAUUAAACAAUGUGGAAGUUGUUGCGAAAGGCAGGAAGAAAGCGUGUUAACCUAUAACAUACAGGUGUAACACUGGGUUACUGACUUAUGACUAAACCAAUAAUCUGUGGUUCUCUCACCUUGAGGAGUGUCCAAUUACUGUUGUAUAAUUACUAUUUUGUAUGCAGGAAAAGUUGAAAAGGUUGUUAUAGAUUUGUAUUUUUUGACAGUUUUUUGGAAGUAUUGAUAUAAUCUAUAGUUUUCUGGUUUGAAGUUAUUGCGUAUGGUGCACUUUGUGGGAAUGACUGUUGAAUAUCAUAGUGCCUGUGGAUCUGUCUGUUCUAUGACCUUUAAAAAAUAUUUAUCUCUCCCUAAAGAGCUAGACACUUCAGUUCAUGUGUGUAUUGUUCCCUUAUGCGCAAUGUACUUAGUUGCUUCUCAUGUCCUCCCCCUCACUUAACUUUUCUUAUGUAAGCCAUCUGCGACUGAAUCUCUCACUUUAAAUGUAGUUUACCCACGAUUCUGUUGAGGUUAUGUAGUGUAUGUCUCUUCCUUGCAUUUCUGAAAAGCAAAAAUAAAACAUUACUGGUAUUUACAGGCUACAACAUUCUAUUGGUGUUUAAAUGGGGUUUUCACCCAUUUUAGACCUUGCCUAAUUCUUCACUGCAUUGUGUGCUGGUAUUGGCUCUCCCAAACUGCUCCUGAUUCUUUUUCAGUCAGAUUCUGCUGAUUCGUCACUAUUGGGGAUUACGUCCCAGCACCGAAAAAAAAGGGUGAACUAUCCCUUUAACUUACCACAUUGUUAAAAUAGAAACAAUGAGCAAUGUUUUGGGAUUUUCAGCAAAAGACUAUUUGUUUUCUAAAGGUCAGAUAUGUUUUCUAAAGGUCAGAUAUGACCCAGAUCCACAGCUUUAAUUAUUUGAUAAAGUGUUUUCUAUUUCUAUGCAUGGAAUCUAUUUAAAACAUCAAAACAUGUCCGUUUUCUUGUCCUGAAGGGCUAAUGUGUUAUAUAAUCACAAUGACUUACAGGUCUUAGAUCAUAUUUUAUUCCCUACAUAGUUCAAUAUGUUUGACCAGAGGCCUACAAUAUAUCCCAAUGCCAAGUAGCGCAGUAUGUAGGGAAUAUGCUGCCAUUUUGGACUUAUUCAUUGUUUCACAGUCAAGUGGACUGUAAGGAGGAUGUUGACAAAUGCCUGUACGCUUACCUAGACUUUUUCAUUGAAUCGUUGCAUUUCACAGCAUAGCUCAUCAAGGUAAGGUGCUGUAGCCAUCACAUGGCUAAUAUUUAUGAAAUUGUUAUAUGCAUUGAGAACUUUUGCAUGAAAAUGGGAUGAGUUUCUUUCAUAAUAAUUUGAUAUUGUGGGCAUAAUUUUGAAUAUUGUGUGGCGAUCACAAUGAUAAUAAAUGUUCAGUUAAAUAAAGACAUGCUCCCUC
Molecule: long non-coding RNA, 2541 nt
Organism: Esox lucius (northern pike)
Lineage: Eukaryota; Metazoa; Chordata; Actinopteri; Esociformes; Esocidae
Exons: 3
Source: RefSeq, a predicted model, not a curated record